GUGCCAGCAGCCGCGGUAAUACGUAGGGGGCUAACGUUGCUCGGAAUUACUGGGCGUAAAGGGUGUGUAGGUGGCUGUGCAAGUCAUUGAUGAAAUCCCGAGGCUACAACCUCGGAAUUGUCUCUGAAGCUGCACAGCUUGAGGAUAUUUGAGGAAAACGGAAUUCCCGGUGGAGCGGUGAAAUGCGUAGAUAUCGGGAGGAACACCAGAGGCGAAGGCGGUUUUCUAGAGUAUUCCUGACACUGAGACACGAAAGCUAGGGGAGCGAACGGGAUUAGAUACCCCGGUAGUCC
Molecule: ribosomal RNA, 293 nt
Filed under: uncultured prokaryote
Description: partial 16S ribosomal RNA
Rfam family: Bacterial small subunit ribosomal RNA
Source: RNAcentral